Juglans regia (Persian walnut) is the source of this 374-nucleotide long non-coding RNA. RefSeq lists it as uncharacterized. The transcript has 2 exons. The record is from RefSeq and is a predicted model, not a curated record. Lineage: Eukaryota; Viridiplantae; Streptophyta; Magnoliopsida; Fagales; Juglandaceae.
CAUCCAACCAUCUAUUAUUACGAUUGACCAAUAAUAGCAGAUUAGAGUUGAAUGGGAAAUGAGGGGGGGGCAAGUACAUGAUUGAUGCUGUACAGCAGAGCAAAAAAACAGUAUUAUUUUGACACUGAUUUGGUGUCAGCUUAGUAUUUGUUGUGCACUAAAGCACCAGUUCUUCCACCAAGGUUCCUGAUAAGAUUUGAGAUUCCAAUUGCAGUAUUCUUGUGGAUUCAAUGGUUAGGAACACAUAUAUGUAAUGUAUGUAAAUAAAUCAACCUUAGAUUAUUCCUUUUGGGGGUUCCCCUUUCACCUUGAUAGCUUGUGGGACAAAUGGAGAUGUUGCAUUAUUAAGAUCUAUACAUUAGUUUUCGAAGUUC